UGGUGUAGCGGUGAAAUGCUUAGAGAUCAUACAGAACACCGAUUGCGAAGGCAGCUUACCAAACUAUAUCUGACGUUGAGGCACGAAAGCGUGGGGAGCAAACAGGAUUAGAUACCCUGGUAGUCCACGCAGUAAACGAUGAUAACUCGUUGUCGGCGAUACACAGUCGGUGACUAAGCGAAAGCGAUAAGUUAUCCACCUGGGGAGUACGUUCGCAAGAAUGAAACUCAAAGGAAUUGACGGGGGCCCGCACAAGCGGAGGAACAUGUGGUUUAAUUCGAUGAUACGCGAGGAACCUUACCCGGGCUUGAAAGUUAGCGACGAUUCUUGAAAGAGGAUUUCCCUUCGGGGCGCGAAACUAGGUGCUGCAUGGUUGUCGUCAGCUCGUGCCGUGAGGUGUCGGGUUAAGUCCCAUAACGAGCGCAACCCCUACCGUUAGUUGCCAUCAGGUGAAGCUGGGCACUCUGGCGGGACUGCCGGUGUAAGCCGAGAGGAAGGUGGGGAUGACGUCAAAUCAGCACGGCCCUUACGUCCGGGGCUACACACGUGUUACAAUGGUAGGUACAGAGGGCAGCUACCCAGCGAUGGGAUGCGAAUCUCGAAAGCCUAUCUCAGUUCGGAUUGGAGGCUGAAACCCGCCUCCAUGAAGUUGGAUUCGCUAGUAAUCGCGCAUCA
RNAcentral lists this ribosomal RNA (675 nucleotides) under human gut metagenome. Its description in RNAcentral is "bacterial SSU rRNA". It matches the Rfam family "Bacterial small subunit ribosomal RNA", at positions 671 to 1351 of the family's 1533-position model. The record is from RNAcentral.